Molecule: ribosomal RNA, 494 nt
Filed under: uncultured bacterium
Lineage: Bacteria
Description: partial 16S ribosomal RNA
Rfam family: Bacterial small subunit ribosomal RNA
Source: RNAcentral
AUUGAACGCUGGCGGCAGGCCUAACACAUGCAAGUCGAGCGCGAAAGUCUUCGGAUGAGUAAAGCGGCGAACGGGUGAGUAAUGCAUGGGAAUCUGCCUGGUAGUGGGGGACAACGUCUCGAAAGGGACGCUAAUACCGCAUACGCCCUACGGGGGAAAGGGGGGGAUCUUCGGACCUCUCGCUAUCAGAUGAGCCCAUGCCGGAUUAGCUAGUUGGGGGGGUAAAGGCCCACCAAGGCGACGAUCCGUAGCUGGUCUGAGAGGAUGAUCAGCCACACUGGAACUGAGACACGGUCCAGACUCCUACGGGAGGCAGCAGUGGGGAAUAUUGGACAAUGGGGGCAACCCUGAUCCAGCCAUGCCGCGUGUGUGAAGAAGGCCUUAGGGUUGUAAAGCACUUUCAGUGGGGAGAAAGGUGAUUCACCUAAUACGUGAGUCAAUUGAUGCUACCCACAGAAGAAGCACCGGCUAACUCCGUGCCAGCCGCCGCGGAA